AAAUAAAUUCUUUCUUGGAAAAGAAGCGAAAGCUCAGACGGAGAAGCAACAAGGCAAAGGCAGGGAGAGGAACACCGAUCCCCCACUCCACCUCACCCCGGAGAGGAGAGGAGAGAAGAGAAGAGAAGAGGAGAAAAGAAAAGAUCCGAUCCGGCGGAUCGAAGCGCAACCACCGUCUCGACGUCUCGUCUCGCCCUAUCCGUUUCCUCCGUUUCACACUCUCCUCCCUCACCCCUUCCCCCGUUCCCCUUCCUUGGUAUAAGUCCUCCCUUGCUAUUUCCGCCUCACAUCCGACCACAAAUCCGCACCCCCAGGACCAGCAGCAGCAGCCAUGACGCCCUCCGCCGUCGCCAACCUAGCCGGCGCCUCCCCGCUGCCCGCCUUCGCGCCGAGGCCCAGGUCCAGGCCCAACUCGGCCAGCCCGGGCCCGUUCGGGCCCGCGCCGCGCCGGCUCGCCGUCGCCGCCCCGCCGCGGGCCUUCUUCUCCUCCGCGCCCUACCAGCCGCCGGAGCCGGAGGGCUACUCCUCCGUCCGCGAGUACGGCCUCGUGCCCAUGGUCGUCGAGACCACCUCCCGCGGGGAGCGCGCCUACGACAUCUUCUCCCGCCUGCUCAAGGAGCGGAUCGUCUGCAUCCACGGGCCCAUCGCCGACGAGACGGCCUCGCUCGUCGUCGCGCAGCUGCUCUUCCUCG
This 692-nucleotide long non-coding RNA is filed under the name Triticum aestivum (bread wheat). RNAcentral's name for it is "long non-coding RNA (TAES_LNC013459)". The record is from RNAcentral. Lineage: Eukaryota; Viridiplantae; Streptophyta; Magnoliopsida; Poales; Poaceae.